CAGUAGCCGCGGGAAUACGGAGGGUGCGAGCGUUAAUCGGAAUAACUGGGCGUAAAGGGCACGCAGGCGGUGACUUAAGUGAGGUGUGAAAGCCCCGGGCUUAACCUGGGAAUUGCAUUUCAUACUGGGUCGCUAGAGUACUUUAGGGAGGGGUAGAAUUCCACGUGUAGCGGUGAAAUGCGUAGAGAUGUGGAGGAAUACCGAAGGCGAAGGCAGCCCCUUGGGAAUGUACUGACGCUCAUGUGCGAAAGCGUGGGGAGCAAACAGGAUUAGAUACCCGUGUAGUCCCUGUCUCUUAUAA
RNAcentral lists this ribosomal RNA (301 nucleotides) under uncultured bacterium. RNAcentral's name for it is "partial 16S ribosomal RNA". It matches the Rfam family "Bacterial small subunit ribosomal RNA", at positions 509 to 809 of the family's 1533-position model. The record is from RNAcentral.